RNAcentral lists this ribosomal RNA (1155 nucleotides) under Mimetus sp. TAB-2009. Its description in RNAcentral is "SSU rRNA". It matches the Rfam family "Eukaryotic small subunit ribosomal RNA", at positions 622 to 1804 of the family's 1831-position model. The record is from RNAcentral. Lineage: Eukaryota; Metazoa; Arthropoda; Arachnida; Araneae; Mimetidae.
AAAAGCUCGUAGUUGGAUCUCAGUUCGAGUCGGGUGGUCCCCCAACCGGGGGUUACUGCCUGUUCUCAACACCAGCCGGUUUCUCUAGAUGAUCUUCACCGGUUGUCUUGGGUGACCGGCAAGUUUACUUUGAAAAAAUUAGAGUGCUCAGAGCAGGCGCGACGCCUGAAUAAUGUUGCAUGGAAUAAUGAAAUAGGACCUCGGUUCUAUUUUGUUGGUUUUCGGAACACGAGGUAAUGAUUAAGAGGGACAGACGGGGGCAUUCGUAUUGCGACGCUAGAGGUGAAAUUCUUGGACCGUCGCAAGACGAACUACUGCGAAAGCAUUUGCCAAGAAUGUUUCCAUUAAUCAAGAACGAAAGUUAGAGGUUCGAAGGCGAUCAGAUACCGCCCUAGUUCUAACCAUAAACGAUGCCAGCCAGCGAUCCGGCUGUGUUCCUCAAAUGACACGCCGGGCAGCUUCCGGGAAACCAAAGCUUUUGGGUUCCGGGGGUAGUAUGGUUGCAAAGCUGAAACUUAAAGGAAUUGACGGAAGGGCACCACCAGGCUUGGAGCCUGCGGCUAAAUUUGACUCAACACGGGAAAACUUACCCGGCCCGGACACAGGAAGGAUUGACAGAUUGAGAGCUCUUUCUUGAUUCUGUGGAAGGUGGUGCAUGGCCGCUCUUAGUUGGUGGAGCGAUUUGUCUGGUUUAUUCCGAUAACGAACGAGACCCCAGCCUACUAAAUAGACGUUCCGAUUCUUCUCGGUCGGACGCUCUUCUUAGAGGGAUAAGUGGCGUUUAGCCGCACGAGACGGGGCAAUAGCAGGUCAGAGAUGCCCCCAGAUGUCCGGGGCCGCACGCGCGCUACAUUGAAGGAAUCAGCGUGUGCUUUCCCUGUCCGACAGGACUGGGUAACCCGUUGAACCUCCUUCGUGCUGGGGACAGGAAUUUGUAAUUGUCUUCCUCGAACGAGGAAUGCCUAGUAAGCGCGAGUCAUAAGCUCGUGUUGAUUAUGUCCCUGCCCUUUGUCCACACCGCCCGUCGCCACUACCGAUUGAAUGAUUUAGUGAGGGCAUCGGACUGGCGCUCGGAUUGGCUUUGGUCGAGCCGCGUGCCGGAAAGAUGUCCAAACUUGACCAUUUAGAGGAAGUGAAAGUCGUAACAAGGUUUCC